Molecule: ribosomal RNA, 433 nt
Filed under: uncultured bacterium
Lineage: Bacteria
Description: partial 16S ribosomal RNA
Rfam family: Bacterial small subunit ribosomal RNA
Source: RNAcentral
AACGAACGCUGGCGGCAUGCUUAACACAUGCAAGUCGAACGAGACCUUCGGGUCUAGUGGCGAACGGGUGCGAAACGCGUGGGAACCUGCCUUUAGGUUCGGAAUAACACCCCGAAAGGGGUGCUAAUACCGGAUAAUGUCUUCGGACCAAAGAUUUAUCGCCCUUGGAUGGGUCCGCGAUGUAUUAGCUAGUUGGUAGGGUAAAAGCCUACCAAGGCGACGAUCCAUAGCUGGUCUGAGAGGAUGAUCAGCCACACUGGGACUGAGACACGGCCCAGACGCCUACGGGAGGCAGCAAUGGGGAAUAUUGGACAAUGGGCGAAAGCCUGAUCCAGCAAUGCCGCGUGAAUGAUAAAGGCCUUAGGGUUGUAAAGCUCUUUUACCCGGGAUUAUAAUGACAGUACCGGGUAAAUAAGCUCCGGCUAACUCCGUG